CAUAUGCCCUCCCUCACUUAGGUUUCAAUGAUUUUUUUACAUUUCUUACAUGGCAUAUUAAAUAAUGAAAUCAAACUUUUAUCGGCCUUAAGUUUGAUGCAUCCAUCAUUCCAUUUUCUCAGAUCUUCAACGCAUGUCUCUCUUCUUUGCCUUCUAAGGUUUGUCACCGUUGUUCCAUCGUAUUGAAUGUAUUGAAUCGCCAAGUGGUUAAAGUAAAUAUUGUUCCCAAUUUCGAUUGGAUUUGGGGAUCUGAGAUUGAAGGUUGAUUGCAUUUCUAGGGCUUUAUUCAUGGUUUUCUUAAUUCUUUAACCUAAUCGAAUCUGUUCUUCACUCAAAUCACAAUCGUUUCUCAGUCACAUCCCUAAUCGUUACCGGGUAAGUGUUCUUCGUUUUCUAUUCUAUUUUGCAUUGUAUUUGUGUUUGACAGGGUUGAAGCUUACGGGUACCCUUAUCCCGCAUAUCUAAGUUCCCCCUUUUUCUGCUUUUAAACAGUUUUCAGUUGAGAAAGAUUCUGGCACUCAGCUUAAGGAUAUUCCAAAUGGUAUGUGUUUAUGAUUUUUUUAGUGCUUAAUUUAUGUUAAGUUGUAAAUAUAGAGUUGAAGUUAAUUAUUACACAUUGAGGAACUUUAGUUGUAUUGUUUAAACUUCUCAGCUUCUUCAGAUUGGAAAUUGAGGUAAAUCAUAAGUUAUAAUAUAACAGUUAGUAAGUUCUUUUUUUUUUUUU
Helianthus annuus (common sunflower) is the source of this 724-nucleotide long non-coding RNA. RefSeq lists it as uncharacterized. The record is from RefSeq and is a predicted model, not a curated record. NCBI's taxonomy places the organism in Eukaryota, Viridiplantae, Streptophyta, Magnoliopsida, Asterales, Asteraceae. The transcript has 2 exons.